CAUAACAUAGGUAUUAAAGUUUACAGUGGCAGAUCCAGGAAAUUGAAACAGAGGGGACACAGAGAAGAACUUGCACAGAAGGACAAUCUACUGCAGCCCUGCCAUCGUUGGGGCUGAGAUAAUACAACUUACUAUCUUUUUAAAAAGAGCCAAUAGUUGAUGCAAUUUCAUAGAGAGGGAUUGUCUUCAACAGCGAUUCACUGAGACUGCACUAACAUGCAGCAGACGACAUAGCAUCAUCACAAGCUCACACAGAGUAGAGAUGGAUUUGACAGCUGAUAGUCAACCGACCAUCAAAUCAAGCGUGUCUGCCCAACUCGCAAACUGCUACAUACAUUUUAUUAAAUUUUAAUUUGUCAUCUUUGUAAGAAAAUUAUCUGGAAAUUACU
Anneissia japonica is the source of this 389-nucleotide long non-coding RNA. RefSeq lists it as uncharacterized. NCBI's taxonomy places the organism in Eukaryota, Metazoa, Echinodermata, Crinoidea, Comatulida, Comatulidae. The record is from RefSeq and is a predicted model, not a curated record. The transcript has 3 exons.